Paramuricea clavata is the source of this 344-nucleotide non-coding RNA. NCBI's taxonomy places the organism in Eukaryota, Metazoa, Cnidaria, Anthozoa, Malacalcyonacea, Plexauridae. The record is from the annotation of a GenBank genome assembly.
UACAUGAACAAGCAUAUUUCGACGGCCCAACCGGAACUUUCCCGGAAUGAACGGUUUGUUUGAAAAGGUUGUCCUCUCUUACCGAUUGGAACGUUUCAACCGGUGAAUUUUGUUCCAUUUACAUCUUUUUUUUUAUUUUUGCACCAGUUCCAGGCUCUUCGCGAUUUAAUUCAAACCGAAUGGGUUUUCCAUGUAAAUGGUAAACAACCCUUCAGUGCCUUUCGGUCAGUCACUCUAAAUGGAAAGCGUAUAAUCCGAAUGGGAUUUUCUAUUCGAAAUUUUGCUUACCAUUAGCACAAUUUCAAACCGGAUGGGUUUUCCAUGUAAAUGGUAAACAAUCCUUG